CAAGAGUUAGGUGUUAGCCAGCUUUAACUGCAAUGGAAAGAUUGCACAAGACUUCUACAUUUUAAACCCGGACUGCUGAAACUAAUAACUGGAUCGCGGUCUUCAAGAACAACAAACUUUGCUUCGCCAGCCCAGAGAGAAACAGUCCCAAUAUCUUCUCUUUGAAGUGCAGGGCACAUCCUCAUUAUGUGCAUCCUGAUACCUGCCACGGCUAAUGAGGAGAGGGACUGGAGCAGCAAAGUUGGAGCGUUUAGAUUAAUGGGAGUUGUACAGCAGUGAAAUUUGGGAAUAGUGUCUACUCUAGUCUCCCGAGCUGUUCAUUACUGUGGAUAUAUGACAUUUUAGAACAGGGAGCUGAGUCGCUGCCUAAUGAUACAGUGGGAUAAACACUGGGGACAGGUUGGCUCGGUCAGAACUGGAGGCACCUAUGGAGGUUUCUGCCAGAGGGAACGGCAACAAAGACGGCAUUAAGUAGAGUUGAUCCUGUCCCAUGUUUUUAUUAAUUGAUAAAGAACACAUUUGUACUGUAGAGCAUUAAUUAGAGAGGUACUGAAGAAUAAAAGAUGUCAAGUUAGGAAACCUGUAUAGUCAUAAAAAAUAUAUAUAUUUUGUGAUGAGAACGCAUGCAACUCUUUUUGUUUUAGUAGCUUUUGGGGUCAGUGUUGAAAAGUGUUGAUCAUCUCUGGAACUUAACAGCAUAAACAACAAAUAUCAAAUGGAUAUGAAAUUUUAACUGUAUUGAGUCAUCGAAAUCCAUUUCAAAAUGACUAAACCCAAACCUAUUUUGGUGUCUAAAUAUACUGUUUAAACACAGUAUUUAUCGCAUCAUAAAUGUAAAAAGUCAACAUUCCACCCUUUUAGCAUUGCUG
This is a long non-coding RNA of Oncorhynchus tshawytscha (Chinook salmon), 869 nucleotides long. The record is from Ensembl. NCBI's taxonomy places the organism in Eukaryota, Metazoa, Chordata, Actinopteri, Salmoniformes, Salmonidae.